UGGGAGCGUGGCGGAAUUGGUAGACGCAGCGCACUCAAAAUGCGCCGCCUUCGGGUUUGUCGGUUCAAGUCCGACCGCUCCUAU
This 84-nucleotide transfer RNA is filed under the name Synechococcus sp. MIT S9504. RNAcentral describes it as "tRNA-Leu". It matches the Rfam family "tRNA". From Rfam's summary of the family: Transfer RNA (tRNA) molecules are approximately 80 nucleotides in length. Their secondary structure includes four short double-helical elements and three loops (D, anti-codon, and T loops). Lineage: Bacteria; Bacillati; Cyanobacteriota; Cyanophyceae; Synechococcales; Synechococcaceae. RNAcentral also lists the same sequence under 2 other names. The record is from RNAcentral.